RNAcentral lists this long non-coding RNA (319 nucleotides) under Capsicum annuum. Its description in RNAcentral is "long non-coding RNA (CANN_LNC009057)". The record is from RNAcentral. Lineage: Eukaryota; Viridiplantae; Streptophyta; Magnoliopsida; Solanales; Solanaceae.
UUCAAUGAAAAUGACCCUUUCUUCCAGGCCGCCAUUCAACGUGCUUCACUUCGUCUUCGCGAGUCUCACUCUCCAGGUUUUAAAUUCACCACAAUCACUGCUACCCUCUUCUAAUUUGGAUUCAGCUCCAAUUGUUCAUAUGAUGAAAUUGAGCACAAUAAUUUGUUAUUUGAUGAAAUUGAGCACAAUAAUUUGUUAUUUGAUGAUGCGCACAUACUUUUGAAGGAUGUCUGUCUAUCUGUUGCUUUUGCAGAUCCUCUCCUUAUCGACCCAUAUGUUGGCUGCCUUCUUCCUUAUAAUACUCCCGAAGACAUGGAGG